GCGGAGAAGGUGGAACUG
RNAcentral lists this microRNA (18 nucleotides) under Ornithorhynchus anatinus (platypus). RNAcentral describes it as "oan-miR-1402". Lineage: Eukaryota; Metazoa; Chordata; Mammalia; Monotremata; Ornithorhynchidae. The record is from miRBase by way of RNAcentral.